AUUGAACGCUGGCGGCAUGCCUUACACAUGCAAGUCGAACGGCAGCAUGAUCUAGCUUGCUAGAUUGAUGGCGAGUGGCGAACGGGUGAGUAAUACAUCGGAACGUGCCCUGUAGUGGGGGAUAACUAGUCGAAAGAUUAGCUAAUACCGCAUACGACCUGAGGGUGAAAGUGGGGGACCGCAAGGCCUCAUGCUAUAGGAGCGGCCGAUGUCUGAUUAGCUAGUUGGUGAGGUAAAGGCUCACCAAGGCGACGAUCAGUAGCUGGUCUGAGAGGACGAUCAGCCACACUGGGACUGAGACACGGCCCAGACUCCUACGGGAGGCAGCAGUGGGGAAUUUUGGACAAAGGGCGAAAGCCUGAUCCAGCAAUGCCGCGUGUGUGAAGAAGGCCUUCGGGUUGUAAAGCACUUUUGUCCGGAAAGAAAUGGCUCUGGUUAAUACCUGGGGUCGAUGACGGUACCGGAAGAAUAAGGGCCGGCUAACUACGUG
This 490-nucleotide ribosomal RNA is filed under the name uncultured bacterium. RNAcentral describes it as "partial 16S ribosomal RNA". It matches the Rfam family "Bacterial small subunit ribosomal RNA", at positions 30 to 507 of the family's 1533-position model. The record is from RNAcentral.